AAUUUUUACACAAAAUGACUAUUUUGACCAAUUUUUAACAUUUAUAUUAUCCUUUCUAAUUUUUAACAUUUUUACUUUUUUAAAUUUUCUUUAAUACUUUUUUAAAGUUUUAUAAUUACAUAUUUACUUUUUGUUCUUCUUCCUCAUAUCUAAACUCAUUUAGAUCUGGGUUCAACAAGUCAUCUCUUACUCUCUCAUCAAGCUUAUCGAGCUUUCACACUCGUCUUCGCACAAUCACCAUAUGUAGCUUCUCGUCAUCAGCCUCUUCUCAAGCCACCAUUGUCGUUCAAUCGAUGUUUGUAAGGUCUUCUUCUUCUUCUUCUUCUUCUUCUUCUUCUUCUUCUUCUUCUUCUUCUUCUUCUUCUUCUCAUUUUGCUAAAAUUACAAAAAUAAAAGUUUAGAUUUGAUAGUUUUUAUAAGAGUUUGUUGUUUAUUUGCUUAUUUAUUAUUGACUUUUCUAUUUUUCUUACAGAUUUUAGGAAUUUUGUUCUUAUUCUUUUAGUUGAGUUCUUAUAUAUAUAUAUAUAUAUAUAAAAGUACACUUGCUAGGUGUUUGAUGAAAUGCCCAAGAGAAUUCUUUACUAGCUUAAAGGAAUAAGGCACAUUCAAAUGUAAUUUUAUUUCAACUUUAAGUUAGUAUUUUCAUGGUAUUAUUUAGAUAUUACUUUUGCUGAUCUAUAUUUUAUCUUUUUUAUGAAUCAAAAAUUUUAUCUAAAUAUUUUAAUGGUUACGUUGAUUUAACGUUGUUUAUAAGUUGUUUUAUAUUUGUUUCAUCUUUUAAUUUUUUUAUUGUUGCUGUUUCACCAAGUCAUCCAUUGAAGAGGCUUUUCAGGGAAAAAUGUGAGGUGCAUGAUAAGACCUCUGACGUUGUUGACAAGUUGAAGCUUUCAAAGAAAAAUAUUGUCAAGGUUUAUAAUUUGCUUUUUUAAUUUGUCUUGUUUGAAAUGUUCUCUGAUUGUUGUUCAUUCAUUUGAAAAAAAAAAUCAUAGCAGAAAGUUGUUUUAUAGUUUGUUUAAUGUUGUUUUGAUGUUGUUUUAACUGCUGCAGGACUUGAUUUCUAGUGAUGAUGAACUUCAAAGUUGAUCAGAAUAAACUUGUUGUUCAUUUCUAUUCCUUUGGUAGAAUGAAGUGAGUUGCAAACAUUGAAAGUGUACAAGAAAAUGUUUCAAAGUCUUUUAAGAAAGUUGAAGCCACUAUACAUGAAUUAAUGAUUGAGCAGUGUAUUUGGAGUUAUUUUAUGAUGCUAUUUAAAUAUUCUGUUACAGUGGAGUUAUUAUAUAUUUAUUUAUUUAUUGUUA
Cannabis sativa is the source of this 1298-nucleotide long non-coding RNA. RefSeq lists it as uncharacterized. Lineage: Eukaryota; Viridiplantae; Streptophyta; Magnoliopsida; Rosales; Cannabaceae. The record is from RefSeq and is a predicted model, not a curated record. The transcript is spliced from 2 exons.